This 669-nucleotide small RNA is filed under the name Pongo abelii (Sumatran orangutan). RNAcentral's name for it is "processed transcript". The record is from RNAcentral. Lineage: Eukaryota; Metazoa; Chordata; Mammalia; Primates; Hominidae.
ACUAAGCUAAAGCAGAAGCUUGGAUGAGUAAGAAGGCCCCACUCAUGGUUCACACCUGCUGCUGUGUUACCUGGAGCCUCAGUCACCUUUUCUGUAAAGUGGGGCUGGGAACAGGAGAUUGAUCAGAUGGCGUUAGAUUUGGCAAAUGCAGGCAUUUUAAAAAUGAGAAUUGGAGGAAUUGCUAUGAUUUACCCAAAGUUUGGAUCGCCAUAUGCAAACCCACCACGGACACCAUAAACCAUUCCGAUGCAAACUCUGCUCCUUCAAGUCCUCCUAUAACAGCCGGCUGAAAACACAUAUACUCAAAGCUCAUGCUGACUCAUCAUAUUCAGAGCCCCCAGAUGUUCAGCAGCAGUUGAACCACUAUCAGUCAGCUGCCCUGGCAAGGAACAACAGCCGUGUUAGCCCUGUGCCUCUUUCUGGGGCUGCUGCUGGCACUGAGCAGAAAACCGAAGCCGUGCUUCACUGCGAAUUCUGUGAAUUCUCCUCCGGCUACAUCCAGAGCAUCAGGCGCCAUUACCGGGACAAGCAUGGUGGGAAGAAGCUUUUCAAGUGCAAAGACUGCUCCUUUUACACAGGCUUUAAAUCUGCUUUUACUAUGCACGUGGAAGCUGGGCACUCAGCGGUUCCUGAGGAGGGCCCCAAAGAUCUUCGCUGUCCUCUCUGCCU